GCCGUCAUUUUCAGCUGACCGACAAUUUUUUUUGCUCCUCCGUUGGCCGCCGGACGUUUCAUGACGAGUUUUAUUUGCAUAUUUUUCGGCGCCUUUCCGCCCGUUUGUUAUUACAAAAUUGGUCCAAUUAAAACUGUAUAAAAAUCGACGGGCGUUAAGUGGCCAGUCACAGUUGUCUUUCAGUGUUCAGUCUUAUCACAACCGAUACCCACCAAUCUAUCACCAUGUACAAGAUCGCCGCUUUAUUGGCCCUCGUCGCCGCCGUGAGCUGCAUGCCCCAAUACGGCCACCAAGAGUCCUACCACCACGAGCCCCACUACCCCUCGGAGCCAAUCAAAUACGAGUUCAAUACUCCGUCCACGACCCCCACACCCACGAUGUCCACAGCCAGGAAGAGAGCGGAGACGGUCACUACGUCAAGGAGUCUACAAGCUCAACGAACCCUACGGAGGAGAGCGUGUCGUCGAGUACUCCGACAACGGACACGGAUUCGUCGCUCACGUACACACCUCCAAGAUCUCGCAUCCCCAGAACUACGGACAUGGUGGUUACGGACAUUAAUGACCUAACCUCAAAUCUCCUUCCCAUCGCACCCACACACCCGAAUCCAUACCUCUUCACGAGUACCAUUCGGACUCGAAAAUCACCGGCAGCACCAGAUAAAAUUAAAUCCAAGGACAUUUCCAGGACUCAUAUAAUGGUCGGCCUUUUCUUAUCAUUCUCAUCCUCAUUUUCAUACUUCACCUCGCAUCAUUUCUUUCAUUUUCAUUUCCAUUCUUCGUAUACGUCAUAAUCAUCAUCAUCAUACCUUCAUUAUCAUCAUCAUUCUUCACUUUCUCUUCCAUUAGUGUCAAUUUUGACCGAACGUGCACCUUGUAAAAGAUUCUUGUGAUAAAAGACUGAAUUAGGAUCGUCUUAUUUACUCAUUUUUGUUUGUUUUUUGUUGAUUUUGUGAGUACUUGUGACAGCAACUGCACCCGAUUGAAAGAUCAUUUAAAUAUUUUCAAACUGAUUCUCUUGAUAUGUUUGUGUAAACUGCAAAGAAUCUAAUUCAUCUCAUUGUGAAUAAAUCAUACCAUACCAAAAAUCAAUUUGCUUUGUUGUUCUUCCUUUAAAUGUGAAUAGAUUAACAAAAUAGAUGCAAAUAUAAUGGUACAAGUCCGAAUUCACAUUAUAUAAGUGAAGACCAAAAGGAGUACCUGUUCGAUAGCAUAUUUUUGACAUUAACUUGCAAUUGCUGCGCACUGGUGCAGUAUUUUUCGAAUGAUACGUACAAAACAGAAAGAAAAGCCGAGAACAAUUCAUUAAAAUGACAGAAUGAAAUAACCUUACGCAAAAUGUCAACAAUUUUUCUCAUCAGUAUUACUUUUUUAAGAAAAACACAUCAAAUUACAUUCGAAAUAAUUGAAAAAAUGCAUCCAAUAUUAAAUUUAAAAAAAAAUUUUAAUCAAUUUCAUAAUAUUCAAUUUAUACUUGAAACUGAUAACCGCGACUCAUAUUUUUUCGCCUCUAAGAAUUGGUUUACGUUAAAUAAUUUUCUGUUUGGAUAUUCGUUUUGGUCCAGAAUAUGA
This 1571-nucleotide long non-coding RNA is filed under the name Bemisia tabaci. RNAcentral describes it as "lncRNA ENSSSA2NGG001101". The record is from RNAcentral. Lineage: Eukaryota; Metazoa; Arthropoda; Insecta; Hemiptera; Aleyrodidae.